RNAcentral lists this ribosomal RNA (526 nucleotides) under uncultured bacterium. RNAcentral describes it as "bacterial SSU rRNA". It matches the Rfam family "Bacterial small subunit ribosomal RNA", at positions 380 to 916 of the family's 1533-position model. The record is from RNAcentral.
AGCCUGAUGCAGCGGCGACGCGUGAGGGAUGACGGCCUUCGGGUUGUAAACCUCUUUCUCUAAGGAAGAAGCGAAAGUGACGGUACCUGCAGAAGAAGCGCCGGCUAACUACGUGCCAGCAGCCGCGGUAAUACGUAAGGCGCAAGCGUUAUCCGGAAUUAUUGGGCGUAAAGAGCUCGUAGGCGGUUUGUCGCGUCUGCCGUGAAAGUCCGGGGCUCAACUCCGGAUCUGCGGUGGGUACGGGCAGACUAGAGUGAUGUAGGGGAGACUGGAAUUCCUGGUGUAGCGGUGAAAUGCGCAGAUAUCAGGAGGAACACCGAUGGCGAAGGCAGGUCUCUGGGCAUUAACUGACGCUGAGGAGCGAAAGCAUGGGGAGCGAACAGGAUUAGAUACCCUGGUAGUCCAUGCCGUAAACGUUGGGCACUAGGUGUGGGGGACAUUCCACGUUUUCCGCGCCGUAUCUAACGCAUUAAGUGCCCCGCCUGGGGAGUACGGCCGCAAGGCUAAAACUCAAAUGAAUUGACGG